Molecule: ribosomal RNA, 295 nt
Filed under: uncultured Acinetobacter AC1
Lineage: Bacteria; Pseudomonadati; Pseudomonadota; Gammaproteobacteria; Moraxellales; Moraxellaceae
Description: partial 16S ribosomal RNA
Rfam family: Bacterial small subunit ribosomal RNA
Source: RNAcentral
GGCGGCAGGCUUAACACAUGCAAGUCGAGCGGGGAGAUGUAGCUUUCUACAUAACCUAGCGGCGGACGGGUGAGUAAUGCUUAGGAAUCUGCCUAUUAGUGGGGGACAACAUUCCGAAAGGAAUGCUAAUACCGCAUACGCCCUACGGGGGAAAGCAGCGGAUCUUCGGACCUUGCGCUAAUAGAUGAGCCUAAGUCAGAUUAGCUAGUUGGUGGGGUAAAGGCCUACCAAGGCGACGAUCUGUAGCGGGUCUGAGAGGAUGAUCCGCCACACUGGGACUGAGACACGGCCCAGA